RNAcentral lists this ribosomal RNA (2567 nucleotides) under Escherichia coli. RNAcentral describes it as "partial 23S ribosomal RNA". It matches the Rfam family "Bacterial large subunit ribosomal RNA", at positions 375 to 2925 of the family's 2925-position model. The record is from RNAcentral. Lineage: Bacteria; Pseudomonadati; Pseudomonadota; Gammaproteobacteria; Enterobacterales; Enterobacteriaceae.
GUACACAAAAAUGCACAUAUUGUGAGCUCGAUGAGUAGGGCGGGACACGUGGUAUCCUGUCUGAAUAUGGGGGGACCAUCCUCCAAGGCUAAAUACUCCUGACUGACCGAUAGUGAACCAGUACCGUGAGGGAAAGGCGAAAAGAACCCCGGCGAGGGGAGUGAAAAAGAACCUGAAACCGUGUACGUACAAGCAGUGGGAGCCUCUUAAUGGGGUGACUGCGUACCUUUUGUAUAAUGGGUCAGCGACUUAUAUUCUGUAGCAAGGUUAACCGAAUAGGGGAGCCGAAGGGAAACCGAGUCUUAACUGGGCGUUAAGUUGCAGGGUAUAGACCCGAAACCCGGUGAUCUAGCCAUGGGCAGGUUGAAGGUUGGGUAACACUAACUGGAGGACCGAACCGACUAAUGUUGAAAAAUUAGCGGAUGACUUGUGGCUGGGGGUGAAAGGCCAAUCAAACCGGGAGAUAGCUGGUUCUCCCCGAAAGCUAUUUAGGUAGCGCCUCGUGAAUUCAUCUCCGGGGGUAGAGCACUGUUUCGGCAAGGGGGUCAUCCCGACUUACCAACCCGAUGCAAACUGCGAAUACCGGAGAAUGUUAUCACGGGAGACACACGGCGGGUGCUAACGUCCGUCGUGAAGAGGGAAACAACCCAGACCGCCAGCUAAGGUCCCAAAGUCAUGGUUAAGUGGGAAACGAUGUGGGAAGGCCCAGACAGCCAGGAUGUUGGCUUAGAAGCAGCCAUCAUUUAAAGAAAGCGUAAUAGCUCACUGGUCGAGUCGGCCUGCGCGGAAGAUGUAACGGGGCUAAACCAUGCACCGAAGCUGCGGCAGCGACACUAUGUGUUGUUGGGUAGGGGAGCGUUCUGUAAGCCUGUGAAGGUGUACUGUGAGGUAUGCUGGAGGUAUCAGAAGUGCGAAUGCUGACAUAAGUAACGAUAAAGCGGGUGAAAAGCCCGCUCGCCGGAAGACCAAGGGUUCCUGUCCAACGUUAAUCGGGGCAGGGUGAGUCGACCCCUAAGGCGAGGCCGAAAGGCGUAGUCGAUGGGAAACAGGUUAAUAUUCCUGUACUUGGUGUUACUGCGAAGGGGGGACGGAGAAGGCUAUGUUGGCCGGGCGACGGUUGUCCCGGUUUAAGCGUGUAGGCUGGUUUUCCAGGCAAAUCCGGAAAAUCAAGGCUGAGGCGUGAUGACGAGGCACUACGGUGCUGAAGCGACAAAUGCCCUGCUUCCAGGAAAAGCCUCUAAGCAUCAGGUAACAUCAAAUCGUACCCCAAACCGACACAGGUGGUCAGGUAGAGAAUACCAAGGCGCUUGAGAGAACUCGGGUGAAGGAACUAGGCAAAAUGGUGCCGUAACUUCGGGAGAAGGCACGCUGAUAUGUAGGUGAAGCGACUUGCUCGUGGAGCUGAAAUCAGUCGAAGAUACCAGCUGGCUGCAACUGUUUAUUAAAAACACAGCACUGUGCAAACACGAAAGUGGACGUAUACGGUGUGACGCCUGCCCGGUGCCGGAAGGUUAAUUGAUGGGGUUAGCGGUAACGCGAAGCUCUUGAUCGAAGCCCCGGUAAACGGCGGCCGUAACUAUAACGGUCCUAAGGUAGCGAAAUUCCUUGUCGGGUAAGUUCCGACCUGCACGAAUGGCGUAAUGAUGGCCAGGCUGUCUCCACCCGAGACUCAGUGAAAUUGAACUCGCUGUGAAGAUGCAGUGUACCCGCGGCAAGACGGAAAGACCCCGUGAACCUUUACUAUAGCUUGACACUGAACAUUGAGCCUUGAUGUGUAGGAUAGGUGGGAGGCUUUGAAGUGUGGACGCCAGUCUGCAUGGAGCCGACCUUGAAAUACCACCCUUUAAUGUUUGAUGUUCUAACGUGGGCCCCUUACCGGGGUUGCGGACAGUGUCUGGUGGGUAGUUUGACUGGGGCGGUCUCCUCCUAAAGAGUAACGGAGGAGCACGAAGGUUGGCUAAUCCUGGUCGGACAUCAGGAGGUUAGUGCAAUGGCAUAAGCCAGCUUGACUGCGAGCGUGACGGCGCGAGCAGGUGCGAAAGCAGGUCAUAGUGAUCCGGUGGUUCUGAAUGGAAGGGCCAUCGCUCAACGGAUAAAAGGUACUCCGGGGAUAACAGGCUGAUACCGCCCAAGAGUUCAUAUCGACGGCGGUGUUUGGCACCUCGAUGUCGGCUCAUCACAUCCUGGGGCUGAAGUAGGUCCCAAGGGUAUGGCUGUUCGCCAUUUAAAGUGGUACGCGAGCUGGGUUUAGAACGUCGUGAGACAGUUCGGUCCCUAUCUGCCGUGGGCGCUGGAGAACUGAGGGGGGCUGCUCCUAGUACGAGAGGACCGGAGUGGACGCAUCACUGGUGUUCGGGUUGUCAUGCCAAUGGCACUGCCCGGUAGCUAAAUGCGGAAGAGAUAAGUGCUGAAAGCAUCUAAGCACGAAACUUGCCCCGAGAUGAGUUCUCCCUGAGACUUAGAGUCUCCUGAAGGAACGUUGAAGACGACGACGUUGAUAGGCCGGGUGUGUAAGCGCAGCGAUGCGUUGAGCUAACCGGUACUAAUGAACCGUGAGGCUUAACCUU